This 649-nucleotide ribosomal RNA is filed under the name Miconia subcompressa subsp. subcompressa. Its description in RNAcentral is "eukaryotic LSU rRNA". The stretch from base 277 to 432 matches the Rfam family "5.8S ribosomal RNA". The record is from RNAcentral. Lineage: Eukaryota; Viridiplantae; Streptophyta; Magnoliopsida; Myrtales; Melastomataceae.
GAACCUGCGGAAGGAUCAUUGUCGAAAUCGAACGGAAGAACGACCCGCGAAUCGUCAUUGCGUACUAGACAGAGCCCGUGAGCACCUAACGCUCAUGGGACUCGCGUCGCGUCGGCGUGGGUGUACUCGAGACCAGCGUCGUACCGGCGGACAAACAACGUCAGCACGGAUCGUGCCAAGGAGCUGCAUGGAGAGAAUCGUCGUCCCACGCCUUUGAUAGUCCUCGAUGCGGGACGGGGGGCGGGGGAUGUACGCAAUCUCUACUCAAGUCUAAACGACUCUCGGCAACGGAUAUCUCGGCUCUUGCAUCGAUGAAGAACGUAGCGAAAUGCGAUACUUGGUGUGAAUUGCAGAAUCCCGCGAACCAUCAAUUCUUUGAACGCAAGUUGCGCCCGAAGCCAUUCGGCCGAGGGCACGCCUGCCUGGGUGUCGUGAAUCCCCUUGCCCCUAGGCACCCGCAUGAGCAUUGGCGGGGAUAUAUGCUCGGGCGCAGAAUAUGGUCUCCCGUGGGAUCGGCAUGCACGGCAUGUCGAGGUGCGGUUGGCCGAAAAUCGAGCAAUGGCUGUGACGGGCACCACGGCGUUCGGUGGAUCGAAUGAGAUUGGCUGCGCCGUGGGCUCGGCAUUAGGCGGGCUCCGGACUUUGAGUA